AAUGCCCCUUGAGGCGUUGCAGCCCAACUGCUGGUGUUGCAGCUGUGUCAUAAGGUGGCAGAGAGAGACUGGUGGCGGUCUGCACCGAGACUCUACAAUAGAGGACUUGGAGUGAUUCUCACCACCAACAUU
Molecule: small nucleolar RNA, 132 nt
Organism: Melanotaenia boesemani (Boeseman's rainbowfish)
Lineage: Eukaryota; Metazoa; Chordata; Actinopteri; Atheriniformes; Melanotaeniidae
Product: small nucleolar RNA SNORA17
Exons: 1
Source: RefSeq, a predicted model, not a curated record